Molecule: ribosomal RNA, 254 nt
Filed under: uncultured bacterium
Lineage: Bacteria
Description: partial 16S ribosomal RNA
Rfam family: Bacterial small subunit ribosomal RNA
Source: RNAcentral
UACGGGGGGAGCAAGCGUUGUUCGGAUUUACUGGGCGUAAAGGGCGCGUAGGCGGUCAGCACAAGUCAGUUGUGAAAUCUCCGGGCUUAACUCGGAAAGGUCAACUGAUACUGUGCGACUAGAGUGCAGAAGGGGCAACUGGAAUUCUCGGUGUAGCGGUGAAAUGCGUAGAUAUCGAGAGGAACACCUGCGGCGAAGGCGGGUUGCUGGGCUGACACUGACGCUGAUGCACGAAAGCGUGGGGAGCAAACAGG